This 776-nucleotide ribosomal RNA is filed under the name uncultured Neocallimastigales. Its description in RNAcentral is "partial large subunit ribosomal RNA". It matches the Rfam family "Eukaryotic large subunit ribosomal RNA", at positions 23 to 616 of the family's 3401-position model. The record is from RNAcentral. Lineage: Eukaryota; Fungi; Neocallimastigomycota; Neocallimastigomycetes; Neocallimastigales.
ACACGCAUGACACACUGCAUAUCAAUAAGCGGAGGAAAAGAAACUAACAAGGAUUCCCUUAGCAACGGCGAGUGAAGCGGGAAGAGCUCAAAUUUGAAAUCUUCAAGGUUUUACCUUGACGAAUUGUAGUUUAAAGAAGUGUUUUCUGUUGGAGUUUCGGUAAAAGUUCUUUGGAAUAGGACAUCAUAGAGGGUGAGAAUCCCGUAUUUGACCGUUACUUUCCAGCUGUGUGAUACACUUUCAAAGAGUCGGAUUGUUUGGGAAUGCAGUCCAAAAUGGGUGGUAAAUUUCAUCUAAAGCUAAAUAUUGGCGAGAGACCGAUAGCGAACAAGUACCGUGAGGGAAAGAUGAAAAGAACUUUGAAAAGAGAGUUAAACAGUACGUGAAAUUGUCAAAAGGGAAGCGUUUGACACCAGUGUUGUUUAGUUGAAAAUCAAUUCAAUAAUUUUUGAUUUUGAGUAGUAUUGACUUCAUCAGCUUGCUGCUUUCUUUUCGGAAAUUAUUGAAUGCACUUUUCAGUUAACAAGUCAACAUCAAUUUCUUUUGUUGUAAAAGGGUAAGAGGAAGGUGGCUUACGCUUCGGCGUAAGUGUUUAUAGCCUUUUACCUCUGCAAUCGGAGAGAUUGAGGACAGCAGCGUAGACUCCUUCGGGGUUAGAUACACUUGUGCUAAGCUAUAGCCUUGUAUAGACAACUUGUUGACUAUGCUCAGUCAUGUAGCUUACUCGCUUGUGCUAUUUUACCUACGCUUAGGAUGUUGAGCGCAUGUCUCUCUCU